AACGAACGCUGGCGGCAUGCCUAACACAUGCAAGUCGAACGAGACCUUCGGGUCUAGUGGCGCACGGGUGCGUAACGCGUGGGAACCUGCCCCUAGGUUCGGAAUAACUCCCCGAAAGGGGUGCUAAUACCGGAUAAUGUCUUCGGACCAAAGAUUUAUCGCCUUUGGAUGGGCCCGCGUUGGAUUAGCUAGUUGGUAGGGUAAAAGCCUACCAAGGCGACGAUCCAUAGCUGGUCUGAGAGGAUGAUCAGCCACACUGGGACUGAGACACGGCCCAGACUCCUACGGGAGGCAGCAGUGGGGAAUAUUGGACAAUGGGCGAAAGCCUGAUCCAGCAAUGCCGCGUGAGUGAUGAAGGCCUUAGGGUUGUAAAGCUCUUUUACCCGGGAUGAUAAUGACAGUACCGGGAGAAUAAGCUCCGGCUAACUCCGUG
Molecule: ribosomal RNA, 433 nt
Filed under: uncultured bacterium
Lineage: Bacteria
Description: partial 16S ribosomal RNA
Rfam family: Bacterial small subunit ribosomal RNA
Source: RNAcentral